CAGAGGGUGCAAACGUUGCUCGGAAUCAUUGGGCGUAAAGCGCGUGUAGGCGGCACGGUAAGUCAGCUGUGAAAGCCCUUGGCUCAACCGAGGAAGUGCAGCUGACACUGCCGAGCUAGAGUGCUGAAGAGGGUGGCGGAAUGCGCAGUGUAGAGGUGAAAUUCGUAGAUAUUGCGUAGAACACCAGUGGCGAAGGCGGCCACCUGGGAAGCUACUGACGCUAAGACGCGAAAGCAUGGGGAGCAAACAGG
Molecule: ribosomal RNA, 251 nt
Filed under: uncultured bacterium
Lineage: Bacteria
Description: partial 16S ribosomal RNA
Rfam family: Bacterial small subunit ribosomal RNA
Source: RNAcentral